UAUAGUUCAUAGAGUUUAGGCUGGAGGAGCCGCUUAUAAAAAUCAGGCUUAGCUGAUAGGUCUCCAUGGUUUUUUUAUCUUCACUAGAGGGAAGAGAUCUCAGUGUUUUUCUAUGUACUAGUUGACAGAGGACAUACUACACCCCUCUUGGAUGUUUACUUUUUAACUAGUCUAAGAAUCAAACAUGCUGCUGCCUCUAUAUUCUUGAACCUAUUUGCUUUUUCGAAGCAAAAUCAUGCAAGAGAGGAAGACAUAGAUUCCCGAGAGCAGAGUUGUAUUCAUAAAAAGGGGAAGGAAAGCCUGAGAGCAUGGAGUGUUGCCCCUUAGCAAUCAUGUCGGUCAUUUGAAAGAGAGGAAUAGGAGGGCUUUGGAAGGGAUGGAACUUGAUUUCGCAAAAUUAAAGAACAAUGUUUUGUACCUAAUUUGCUUUUGGUGUACUUGUG
This 443-nucleotide long non-coding RNA is filed under the name Capsicum annuum. Its description in RNAcentral is "long non-coding RNA (CANN_LNC021435)". Lineage: Eukaryota; Viridiplantae; Streptophyta; Magnoliopsida; Solanales; Solanaceae. The record is from RNAcentral.